RNAcentral lists this long non-coding RNA (1592 nucleotides) under Bemisia tabaci. Its description in RNAcentral is "lncRNA ENSSSA1NGG003764". The record is from RNAcentral. Lineage: Eukaryota; Metazoa; Arthropoda; Insecta; Hemiptera; Aleyrodidae.
AAAAAGGAAGAGACAGAGUAAUAACGAGAAAAGGGAGAAAAAGAAUAAGAGGAAUACUGUGAAGGAAAGAUUGAAUGAGCCUCUCUCCUUUUCUUGCUGUCGAUAAAAGGUGUAAGCAAUAAGGAGAAAAUAAAUUAAUUUCUCAACAAAAAUUUUGAAAAUUAACUUCUCAGCCCCAAAAUAAAGACUGAACUGCGUAAUAUGAAUGGUAAUUGAGGUAAUUGUCAUUAGUAAUGGUCAUUGCAUUUGUAACAUAAAAGUCGUGUAUCAUAAAAUAAAUAUUUACCCUAAUAUUUGCCUUUCAAUUUUUUAAUGAUUGCUUCUUCCUUGAUGUGAGAUUCGUUCACAACGAAACUGUGCUCUUUACUUUUUUCCGGGUGGAAUGAGAGACAACGCAAGACAAAAAAAACUCUCCGAUUCAUAUCAGAUGUGGAACCUAUCUGAUAAGAUUGAUUGAUACUCAAAAUAGCAGCUUCGGUAAGUUUUCAGUCAAUCAAAUACAGGGUAACAAAUUAAUGGAAAAAAGUCAUUUGUCGUAAGUUAUUGUUAGUGAAGUGAUCUAAAUAUGACAUCGACGUGCGCUUUCAUCGUUAUGAUUGUUACCACCUACGCUUCGGCUGGGGUGAUUCCAGUGCCGGAAGAAAAUGCGUCAAGUAAUUUGUUGGAAGACGCAGUCGCAGUGCCAGUCCAUCAGCACAAAACUUUAGCUGCGUUGAUAGCCGAGCUCAAAGGUUUGGAGAUAUGGCGGCAAAACGAACUCAAAAAGGCCCUAGAGGACCCAGACUUGGUGAGAGAUCCAGAUGUAGUGAAGUAUCUGCAAUCUCUGGUGGAAUACGAUAAGCGAUGGUUCGUUUAUGCUGUCAGGCUACUUACCCGUAUCGAAACACUGGAUCAUCCAGGUGGCAAAACCGCGGAAGAAAUACAACAGGUGAAAUAAUGUUAUUUUCCUAACAUGUUUCUUUUACGGCUAAUGUCCAUCCCCGAGCCACAAUCACUUUCAAAAUUAUAUAAAAUCUCUGCACCAAAUUACAACCCUUAAAUUGAAUGUUCGGAGGUCACAAAUCGGUAGUUUCAAUAAUGGAAGAUUCCUAAAAAUUUUUCAUUAUUUUAUUGCCAGCUCGAGUAGUUAAUAUUGCAAGAAGAGUAGAAUCAUAAAAUUAUUCUGACUUGAAAUUCUGAAAAAUCUGUCGUAAUACUCGCAAACUAUUUAUUGUGGAGCACGAAAAGACUUUUGCUCGUUUUACAUACAUAAAUCAUAGUGGCUUCUUCGCGCGCUUCAGCACAAUCUGAUGCUUAAUAAUAUGAUAGCAGUUUGUUAGAAAAUCGCUUAAUAUUCACAGAUAAUUGAAAAGUACCAAUGACGAACAGUUGCAACAAUGUCAGGAAAUUUUCGAGGAUGGCUUUCAUACCAAUACAAAAUCCUGAUUUUAACCGUUAAUUAUUUUGAUGCUAGGACCAAUUAUGCACCGGGCCCCUUUUUUAGGCUCUGAAAGGGGGCUAAAGCAUGGGAGGUGUCGUCACGUUAACUGAGAAAAAAAACCCCAAAAAAAAAACUUUCAGUCUUUUUUCAUAUUGUCACUCCUCCUCUCUGA